Molecule: long non-coding RNA, 4435 nt
Filed under: Homo sapiens (human)
Lineage: Eukaryota; Metazoa; Chordata; Mammalia; Primates; Hominidae
Description: HSALNT0393147
Source: RNAcentral
CCAAGGGCUGUCUACAGCAACAGGGCCUGCAAUGGAAUAAAGACCCAGAAGCCAACAGCAGCGAGGCCGGAGACACAGAAAACACAACCAGAGUCUUCAGGGCAGCAACAGGAGAUGCAGCUUUAAGGGUCCAUCAGGCAGGAAGAACGACCCGGAAGAGGCUUGCCUCAGGCCAGACCCCAUGACUUUGGCUGGGUGUAUCCCUACUACAGUGAGAUGUGAACUCUGGAACCUCUCAAGCUACAAGCCAUUCCCCACAGGAUUAUCUGCCUUCACUUUUCUAAUGUAACAACUGCUUUCCAAGGCAGUGUAGCACAGGUGAUUAAGAGUGGAUACUGCUGCAAGAGUGCCUGGAUUUCGAAGCUGGCUCUACUACUUACUGGCUGUGCAAUCUUGCGCAAGCCACUUAACCUGUCUGUGGUUCAGUUCCCUUAGCUAUAAAAAGGAGACAGAAAUAGUACCUACCUCACACGUUGCUAUGAGGAUUAAUUGAAAUAAUAUAAAUAGAAAGCACCAAGAAUAGUGUGGCACAGAGAGUAUUAUGUAAGUGUAUGCUAUAAUUAUUAAUGAUACCUUCUAUUUUCAUAAGUGUUUUUCCCUUUAUUAAGAGUUUUGUAAAGGAAUUAAUCUUGUAUAGUUCAUACCUGUGUUCUUCCAUUGCAUAGAGCAUAGCUUUUAUUUGCUAUAGCAAAUAACAUUUUUGCAAAUAGCAAAGAAAAUUUUGUUGAAUAAAUAAAUGAGUGAAUGAAUUCCUAUAUUACUAGACACGGGCAAAAAUGUUUUAAGGUGCCAGCAUCAUACCAAGAAACACAGAUGUCAGAAGUAGACACAGAGCUUUCUUUAAGCCAUCAUAUAAUUCAAACGGUGGUUCUCUGCUGAAGCCUGUUUUCACCGUGUGUCUCUAUAGCAGAGACGUGAUCCCGAGCCCUGCUCACAUGCCCAGAGAGAUGACGAACCCAUUAAGUGAAGGUGGAACCACCAACCACUAAACACAAAGUUCCUGUUAUUGUUGGAAAAGGAAACUGGAAACAAAAGCCAGGGUUUCAAAAAGUGACAGUGCUUGGAGGAUCUCAUGCAAACCACUUAAAAGAAGGGCAAGAACUGGAAGAGGUCUGGGUACCCCACACUUGGCUGGAGAACACAGAAUCGUGGGCAUUCGCAUUUAAAGCUGCACACUCAACCCUCAAAAGGUGCUCCUGGGCAUCACUGGGCCCACUUCGCCAAAGGGAAACUGAGGAUGAUGACUCGCCAUAGCUCAGAAUAGCCCACGUGUGGCAGAGCUGGACUCAGCAGAGUGAGGACUCCAGUGUCCCCGCCAGCCCGAUCUCUUCAUGGAAGGUCUGGUCAGCCUGCCCUCAGCCCUGCGCCCUGCAGGGCACUGUGAUGACUGGCCAGCACAGCCCACACCAAAGCUCUCCUACGACGCAAGUCACCGCAGAGAUGAAGACAGAGCCAUGCACGUUCCCCUCCUCUCAACCUCCAUCCUGGAAGGCUCUCCCCUGGGACUGAGACACAGCUUCAAAGAAGGAGCCACGUGGGGUACAAGGGCAUAGAGGGAGCACCCCUCCGGGCAGCCCAGGCUCCCCACCCACCCUGAUGCCUGCUGGGCUGGGACACCGGGCAGCGUGGCCCUGGCUCCAGGCCCUGGCUUUUCCUUGGAGAACUGGAAUCCAGUGGGAAAGAUGGAUAUGGCGGACUGCAAGGGUUUGCAAGGGACCGUCCUGGGGGGGUGAGGUUUGCCUCUCUAGUAACCUGGAGGUGUCAUCCACUUUGUGUAUUAAUCCUGGGGGCUCCCCUCAGUACACUACGUACCUGAAACUCUUGGAAACAAGAGCAGCUCCUCAGACAGCCCUAACCACCGGGGAGACAAGUCUGCCUAUACAACCAGACUUCCUUUGGUGGGAAAGCACACCUCCCACCCCACACCCACCCUAGAGUAGCCGGGGCCUUGGCCUCAGGGCUGCCACCGCAGCUGUUCAGAAGAGCCACAUCAUCAGCUCAGGCGCACUAUGUGCUAUAGACACAGGCACGCAAGCCUCGUCUGUGGGGAAGGGUCGUUAACUGGAGAAAGGUCAUACUUCCAGUCUAUUACCCACCGUAAUGAGCAAAUGCAAAUGAGAGACCUUUCUCAGGUCAUAAGAGACUGUGUGUUUUGGAAACCUGAAUAAUCCCUUAACUGAGGAGGAAACUCAAGAGGAAUAAGCCAGCAUUUCUGGGGCUCAGGGCCCUGUGUUGUAUUAUUCCAGAGACCUCCAGGCAACAGAUGCCCCCACAACCAGCCUCCCAGAGUAGCUGAGAUUACAGGCAUGGACCACACUGCCCAGCCCAGCUGUACUCUCACAGAAAGAAGAUAUAAAACUUCUUGGAAAAACUUACUAAAGAAUGCAAAUUACUACACAGCAAUCUUUAGGUAUCUGUAAGCACUGGACAUCUCCAGUUUGAACCACAGACAAAUGUCAAUUAUCCAAGGUCAUGCAUGAAAACAGUACCAAGAGUGGUUGCCCAAAAAACACUUCCAUAGGCUUUGCAAAGAGUCUGUUUUAAUACUUCGCUUGGCAUACAGAUGUGUCUGAUAAUCAGGGAGUUUACUGCCUGGCAAAUAAUGAAGCCACCCUAAGAAGGUCUACACAGUCCAAGGACAGAAGGGCGUGUGGGCUUCUCCUUCUCGAGCUCCCCACCCUUUCCUGCUGAGGACAGCAAGGGCAGGUGUCUGCAAGCCAGCCUCCUCCCUCACCAUCCCUGUCCUGAGGAGAUAAUGAGUCCUUUUGGUUUAAUGGACCUCCUGCUGGGCUGCAGCAAACACAGAAAUGCAAAAGUAAGAAAGAAACUGUAAUUUGUGACAAUGGGGGACUUUAGCAUAUUCUCCAGUUAAUCGUGUAAUUAGUAAAUGGAAACAUGACUCCUCUUUGUAAAAUUCAAAUUCCACAGCCUGGCAUCAAAUGCACUCCAGUGUCUGGGUCCUGCCUGUCCUCUGGCCUCUAAGUGACAGUGACAAUAGAGAUGCCAACUGCAUGAGGAAGGUACUGAACUGUACAUUCACUGGCCCACUUAGUGCAAUGAGGUGGGUAUCAGUAACCCCAUCCUACAAGGAUGAAACGGGCUCCAAGAGGUCAUGUGACUUGCCCAAAGCAACAAAGCCAAGCAAUGGUGGGGAUGGAGGCAUCUCCCAAGGAUGCCUGGCCCCAAGGCCCACCUGCUGUCCCUUCAACCAAGAGUCUUGCCUGCUAAGGCAGGCACCCCAAGAUGUUCAUCUCUGGAUUUCAUUUGUGCCUGGCACAAAACGAGGCAUGAGGUAGACCUCCACUACAAAUUUUGGAACAAAGCAUGGUGGACUAUAGUGCACCUCUGGUUUGAGAAAAUAUGUCCAGCACACCACCAGAGCAACACCAUCCACUUAUUUAAUGAUCACAAACAAGAAAACCUCGGGUAUGGGUAGAAACGCAGGUACUCUCUUAUAAUUAUUUCUUUUCCCAGUGAUUUAAAAAAAAAUUUUUUUUUUUUAAUUUCUGGAGUUUCUCUAUGUUGCAUGGGCUGCACUCCUACUCCUGGGCUCAAGCACUCCUCUGCCUCAGCUUCCCACAGUCGCUGAGAUUACAGGCGUGUGCCACCCCGCCCAGCCCAACCAUACUCUCUCCUAGAAAGAAGAUAUAAAACUUCUUGGAAAAACUUACUAAAGAAUGCAAAUCACUACACAGCAAUCGUUAGGUCACUGCAAACACUGGACAUCCAGUAAAUGUUGACAGUUGACUGAAUGAUUGAAUAGAAUUCCCAGACGUUUAAAGACAUAAUUUCCGUACUCAAUUGAAGACAUUAUCCCUUUUCCCAAAUCACAUUCUACCAGGCUGUUUCUGUCAAAUACAGUGUUCUUGAAAAAUUACUGCAAGUGCCUGGUCAGAGACCUGAGGCCUCGAUUGAUCACACUAUGAGAUGAGGUUAAACGGAGCAAUUCAAUUUACAAAGAUAUUGAUGCAUGUUUAAAAAUACUGUGAUAGAAACUUCCGCAGAAGCUCACAUUUACUUUGUCAGAAUUCUCUAUCAGCUUAAACACAAAAUAGCCGGAAUUUACGAACAGUUGACCAAUUACAUGUCAGUGAGUAGUGAACACGUACAGUGAUAUUUCUUGCCAAGCACUGAAACCUCCUUCCCUCCCCACUUGAUAGGUCUGUGGGAAAGGGAGUGCCUUUGCAACAGAAAACGCAGAUACAAGCACAGCACUGGAUUCCAACCUUCCUUACAGCCAAGCACAGUCAUGCGACCCAAGCUCCACUCAAAGCACCAUCCUGGGCUUGACGUGGCACUGGAAACAUGAGAAGACAGCAAGGCUCAAGAGGAGCCCUUCCUGCUGGUGGUGGCUGUUGCCUGCAAGAAGAAUCCUGACUGAUGCACAGCCUUGCUGUGAUCCUGUCAGGUCACACACGCUGCCCUUACUACGUAC